GUUUUUAUCAGCUGUUUGGACUCUCAUUCUGACGGCACCCAUUCACUGCAGAGGAUCCACUGCAACACUGUGACCUCUAGCAAUAAAACUGAUGUAAGCAUAAAUAAUAUGAAAGCGAGAAAAGGAAAGAGUCUGUCAGGACCCACUCAGGGUUUAUUCCUCAUCAUCCAACACCAUCAGAAACACCACAGCAGCUCUGAGAGGGAAAAAUAUAAAUAACGAUAUGCAGGUUUGGAAUGAGGAACGAUGGAAUGAAGAUUUCUUCGGAAUGAUAAUUUCUGUUAGAUACUGCCCCCACACAGACUUUUCUGUUUGCAGAACAGAUGGACAUGCUGCAUAUGUAGCGUUCUACAGAUAAGGUUCUACAUACGUACCUAGUGCUGUCUUCAGAAAGCAUCAGGCAGUAGGAAGCUCACAGACAGUUUUGGAGCAGAGCCUGAUGUUUUACACUUCUUUCUCAUAUGCUCUGCUCCUCUUUCCUUUUUUUUUUUUUUUUCUUUUCUUCUUUUCAGCACAAAGUUUGUGUCUGCGAGGCGGCACGCUGCCAGAUCUCACAGCUGCCAGAGCGGGAGGGGGUGUUAAACCGCCACACAACUGGAAUGCAGUCAACAGUCGGCUCCUCGGGCGUCUGUGACGUCACAAUCAGGCAUCUGCAUCGCUGGUGCAAUAAACCUUCACCCUGACCAGUCGUUCACUCUUUUCAGAGUAAACACAGCACACUGCACGUCUCAAGUCACUAUAUCAAUAUCCAAAACCCAAGAGCCUUCAAGAGUUCAAAACUCUAGAAAUUCUGGCAACUUGCAAAAAUAAAUGCAUGAUGGUUUAAUGUUGGAAUGAAGAAAUUGAGAUGUAGAUAUUAGUAAAGCAAUGAUACCGUUGUAGUAUAAAAUUAAAUAAUUUUUAUUAAAGACUUAAUUUUUUCAAUACAGUGCAACAUAAUUAUUACAGUAUAUUUAUUUUGUUUAAUAUUGAUCACAGUGUGUGUGUGUGUGUGUGUU
Carassius auratus (goldfish) is the source of this 998-nucleotide long non-coding RNA. RefSeq lists it as uncharacterized. The record is from RefSeq and is a predicted model, not a curated record. NCBI's taxonomy places the organism in Eukaryota, Metazoa, Chordata, Actinopteri, Cypriniformes, Cyprinidae. The transcript has 3 exons.